CAUUACUCUAUUUGAAUUUUCAAACACUCUAUGAAUAAGUACUUCAGGGUUCAGUUUCUGUUCCCUGUCGUCAGGUCUUUUUUCUUGAACCACGUUAGCUGAGCGUCCUUCAGCUCCAGCUGCUGUUACUGACGUAGUGUUGAUGGAGACAGUGGUGUAAAAUGAGGAACAGAGCUGAGUGUUUCCAUUACAUUUGUAUUAGUGUUCACUUUAAUUACUAACUGGUCACAAACAUUUUUCUUUCUUUUUCUUCAAGUGUUGGCAUUAAUAUGAUAUCAUAUUUAAGUUAAAUAAUUAAUAUUUUAUCUGUUAAAGAAAAAAAAAUAUUUUCAUGAUCUCAGAAAUUUUUGCUUCUUUGUAAAUUGGCAAAGAGUUUGUUUUAUUGGUGCUCUUCCAAAAAUAUUAAAGUGGUGUGUUAAAUCAAAUGUGUUUUAAAGUUUGUUUAGAGAGCAACAUCACCCUCUGCUGGUUAAAGAAGACACGGAACAUUUUCUACUUAAAUUGUCUUGCACUGAGGAAAAGUCAUACUUUCUCUUCUCUAGUGCAAUGACCUAAAGUAAAACAUGAUUUGGGAGAAUAUUUGUUAUUUAUGUGACAUUGGUGAGUUCUUUUGUAUAGAUAUCAAUUUGAUAUUUCUCCGGGGUCAAUCUUUUAGGGUUACAGACAGUAACCACGCAGUUAACCAACUGGGGUGCACUGAUGGAUUGGCCAACUGAUCAUCUGCAACAAUUUCCUUCAUUUUGCAGGAUCGGUGAUCGGCCAAUUAUUUUAUGUGAAACCGAUCUUAGUUACUGAUUCCAUGUAACUCCACAAAUGUGUGAAAGUGAGCCACCGCCACUUCUACUCUUCCGUGAGAGAGGGCUGACUGACAGGCUCAUCCACCCGUUUUGUCUGCAAGUGAAAAAUAAAUAUUUUGAAACUUAUUUUUUACAAAGAAUUUGUUUUUUUUUAAUUUUUCUUAAAUAUUGUAUUUUUACAAAAAAAUCAAAAACUUUCACCUUCUGACCAACAUGACACAUUAGUGUCUCCGAAAAUAAAACUUUCUCAAAAACGACUAAACAUACACUAAUUUGUCUUAAAAUAUUGUAGUUGAUGUUCUUAUGAUCCCAAAUCAAAGACAGGAACGUCGAGGCGCAGUUACGCGUUGAACUGAAACUGUGUUUUUAUUACAAAGUGAGCAAGAACAAGAAAGAGAGUAUACAGAGUACAUUCAAACAAAACAAUGUAUGAAACGAACUUACAGAGACUUUUCUCUGGAGUCAUUGCCGAUCUAGUAGCCUGCCGGUUACCCAGGACCUAUGCCAGGAGCGCUGACUGACUGACUGUCCCGGGAUCUCUGGAUUUUGGUUUUUUCUCCAUGACCUUCCUUUGCAGUUACUGGAACUGUUCACUCAGUGGGACUGGUCCACCUUCCUGGCCGACUAUGGAAAACCCACCUGUAAAUACCUGAGAGUCAACCCUCACACAGCACUCACCCUGCUGGAAAAGAUGAAGGAGAGCAGCAGGAGGAGCACAGUCUUCGCUCAGUUUAAGAAGACGGACAGAGAUCGGCAGAAGCUCAUCGACACGGUGGUCAAGCAGCUCAGGAACCUCAUCUCUCAGCAGCACUCCUAAAUGGCCGACUCCCAACCAUGUGACUGCCCCAGAAGUUAUCAGUGAUUUUAGUCUGUGAGCAAAAAUCAUAGAUUUGAUGCCACUUUGUUCAGUUGCUGGGGUUUUUUUUUAAUUGUUUGUUUUUAUUUGCAAAACGUUUUUGGACUGAUGCACUGUAUUUGAUGUUACAUUAAAUCCACUAACACUUCAGAGGAAUACAAUAUAAAUAAAGGUACAGUUGGUAAAAAGUCACAAAUACCUGUUCACUAUUUUUGUGUUUGAAUCCUUUUUGUCACCAAGGUCUGGCAUAACUUCGACAAAUUAUUUUCAUGCAUUGUUUUAUUUGCACAUUUUGUGACUUUGGAGUUUCUGGUACUUUUUAAUUUCAGAUUUUUUUGCAGGUAUCACAGUGCAGUGCAUGUUUUUAGAAAUGUAUUUCUAGAAUCUUUCUAGAAAGAUGUAAUCAUUACUGCUCACAUCUUACUUAGAUUACUUUACUGGCCCAAACAAAUGUCUACCUCCAGCUCUGCAACUUUGGUUGUUU
Molecule: long non-coding RNA, 2137 nt
Organism: Cynoglossus semilaevis (tongue sole)
Lineage: Eukaryota; Metazoa; Chordata; Actinopteri; Pleuronectiformes; Cynoglossidae
Exons: 3
Source: RefSeq, a predicted model, not a curated record